UGCAACAGCCCUUGUCUCCCUCCGCCCUUGGUUCCUUCUCACCCAUCUCACCACCAUCUGCCCAGGGGAGCCACAUGUCCCAAAUUUUGGAGAGAAAAUAAUUGAGGCUCAUUUCCAGGACAGAGGGGCAAGCUGGGUCUAAAGAGCCAAGCAGAAAGGCUUCCCAAAAUCGCUAGGUUGGGAGGGGUCAGAGACGUGUGGCUGCCCCAGCUGUUCUGACUCUGCCCCAGCUUUUGGCUCCACCCCCUUAAAGCACCUUCAGAGGUUCCCAUGGCGACAGUAAACAAGUCUCCACUGCCUUGGCCAUGUGCUGUGUUCACCCCACUCCUGAUCUUGUUGGCUGCUCAGGGGCUGACAGCCCAGAUGUGCAGCUGUGAUGAGCAGAAACAGGGAGGAAUGGAGCCCCCAGUAAGUCAUGUAUCCGUUAAAAGAAUAUCUGGAAACCUCCAAAAGGAAGCCAAGCAUAGACUAUUUGGAAGAACUUGAAGGAGCGAGAGCUGACCCCAUCUUUGUACACUGGCAGCACAAGGACAACAAUCAACACGGAAGACUUCUGUGACCAAAUGUGUGCACGUUUCUCUCCAUACACCAAGCAAGCAAUCUAUUCUGCAGCAGACACCAACUGGAAGUCCUCCAAUUCAAUUCAAUUCUGACACUGUCUACCUGGAAAUGGCCUCAGCAACCACAGGUUGAGAGCUCAGUCCCACAAGAACACCUCCUCCUUCCAACCAGUUGAAACUCCACACCUCCAGAACUUCUCACUGACUGGCUUCGAGUUGAGGUUUCCACAGUCCUCUGUUUGAGUUUGAUUAAUUUGCUAGAGAAGUUCACAGAACACAAGGAAACACUUACUUAUGUUGAUCAAUUUAUCACAAAGGAUGUUUUAAAGGAUCCAAAUGGGGGCCAGGCACAGUGGCUCAUGCCUGUAAUCCCAGCACUUUGGGAGGCUGAGGCAGGCGGAUCAUGA
Molecule: long non-coding RNA, 967 nt
Filed under: Homo sapiens (human)
Lineage: Eukaryota; Metazoa; Chordata; Mammalia; Primates; Hominidae
Description: HSALNT0399708
Source: RNAcentral